Molecule: ribosomal RNA, 633 nt
Filed under: Nocardioides sp. Ri2Pw_5873
Lineage: Bacteria; Bacillati; Actinomycetota; Actinomycetes; Propionibacteriales; Nocardioidaceae
Description: bacterial SSU rRNA
Rfam family: Bacterial small subunit ribosomal RNA
Source: RNAcentral
CCUGAUCCAGCAACGCCGCGUGAGGGAUGACGGCCUUCGGGUUGUAAACCUCUUUCAUCACAGACGAAGCGCCUUUAGGGGUGGUGACGGUAUGUGGAGAAGAAGCACCGGCCAACUACGUGCCAGCAGCCGCGGUAAUACGUAGGGUGCGAGCGUUGUCCGGAAUUAUUGGGCGUAAAGGGCUCGUAGGCGGUUUGUCGCGUCGGGAGUGAAAACACUGGGCUUAACCGAGUGCUUGCUUUCGAUACGGGCAGACUAGAGGUAUUCAGGGGAGAACGGAAUUCCUGGUGUAGCGGUGAAAUGCGCAGAUAUCAGGAGGAACACCGGUGGCGAAGGCGGUUCUCUGGGAAUAUCCUGACGCUGAGGAGCGAAAGUGUGGGGAGCGAACAGGAUUAGAUACCCUGGUAGUCCACACCGUAAACGUUGGGCGCUAGGUGUGGGGCCUAUUCCAUGGGUUCCGUGCCGCAGCUAACGCAUUAAGCGCCCCGCCUGGGGAGUACGGCCGCAAGGCUAAAACUCAAAGGAAUUGACGGGGGCCCGCACAAGCGGCGGAGCAUGCGGAUUAAUUCGAUGCAACGCGAAGAACCUUACCUGGGUUUGACAUAUGCCGGAAAGCCUUAGAGAUAAGGCCCC